This 253-nucleotide ribosomal RNA is filed under the name uncultured bacterium. Its description in RNAcentral is "partial 16S ribosomal RNA". It matches the Rfam family "Bacterial small subunit ribosomal RNA", at positions 524 to 776 of the family's 1533-position model. The record is from RNAcentral.
UACGAAGGGGGCUAGCGUUGUUCGGAAUUACUGGGCGUAAAGCGCGCGCAGGCGGCUAUCCAAGUCAGUGGUGAAAGCCCGGAGCUCAACUCCGGAACUGCCAUUGAAACUGUUUAGCUUGAGGACGAGAGAGGUGAGUGGAAUUCCCAGUGUAGAGGUGAAAUUCGUAGAUAUCGGGAGGAACACCAGUGGCGAAGGCGGCACUCUGGGCCGGUACUGACGCUGAGGAGCGAAAGCGUGGGGAGCAAACAGG